AGAGUUUGAUCCUGGCUCAGGAUGAACGCUAGCGGCAGGCUUAACACAUGCAAGUCGAGGGGUAACAGUCCCCGCUUCGGGCGGGAGCUGACGACCGGCGCACGGGUGCGUAACGCGUAUACAAUCUACCUUUUGCUGAGGAAUAGCCCAGAGAAAUUUGGAUUAAUGCCUCAUAGUAUGUAGUGGUGGCAUCACUUUUACAUUAAAGGUUACGGCAAAAGAUGAGUAUGCGUUCUAUUAGCUAGAUGGUGUGGUAACGGCACACCAUGGCAACGAUAGAUAGGGGCCCUGAGAGGGGGAUCCCCCACACUGGUACUGAGACACGGACCAGACUCCUACGGGAGGCAGCAGUGAGGAAUAUUGGGCAAUGGAGGCAACUCUGACCCAGCCAUGCCGCGUGCAGGAAGACUGCCCUAUGGGUUGUAAACUGCUUUUAUACAGGAAGAAACACUCUCACGUGUGAGGGCUUGACGGUACUGUAAGAAUAAGGAUCGGCUAACUCCGUGCCAGCAGCCGCGGUAAUACGGAGGAUCCAAGCGUUAUCCGGAAUCAUUGGGUUUAAAGGGUCCGUAGGUGGGUAAUUAAGUCAGAGGUGAAAUCCUGCAGCUUAACUGUAGAAUUGCCUUUGAAACUGGUUAUCUUGAGUCAUUAUGAAGUGGUUAGAAUGUGUAGUGUAGCGGUGAAAUGCAUAGAUAUUACACAGAAUACCGAUUGCGAAGGCAGAUCACUAAUAAUGUACUGACACUGAUGGACGAAAGCGUGGGUAGCGAACAGGAUUAGAUACCCUGGUAGUCCACGCCGUAAACGAUGGUCACUAGCUGUGUGGAUUUCGAUCUGCGUGGCUAAGCGAAAGUGAUAAGUGACCCACCUGGGGAGUACGUUCGCAAGAAUGAAACUCAAAGGAAUUGACGGGGGCCCGCACAAGCGGU
This 929-nucleotide ribosomal RNA is filed under the name uncultured bacterium. Its description in RNAcentral is "bacterial SSU rRNA". It matches the Rfam family "Bacterial small subunit ribosomal RNA", at positions 8 to 933 of the family's 1533-position model. The record is from RNAcentral.